This 387-nucleotide ribosomal RNA is filed under the name Lizzia sp. Its description in RNAcentral is "partial small subunit ribosomal RNA". It matches the Rfam family "Eukaryotic small subunit ribosomal RNA", at positions 582 to 975 of the family's 1831-position model. Lineage: Eukaryota; Metazoa; Cnidaria; Hydrozoa; Anthoathecata; Bougainvilliidae. The record is from RNAcentral.
AUUCCAGCUCCAAUAGCGUAUAUUAAAGUUGUUGCAGUUAAAAAGCUCGUAGUUGGAUUUCGGAAUGGGUCAGUUGGUCCGCCGCAAGGUGAGUUACUGACUGAUUUGUUCUUCUUCGCAAAGACUGCGUGUGCUCUUUACUGAGUGUACGUAGGAUUUACGACGUUUACUUUGAAAAAAUUAGAGUGUUCAAAGCAGGCUAUCGCUUGAAUACAUGAGCAUGGAAUAAUGGAAUAGGACUUUGGUUCUAUUUUGUUGGUUUCUAGGACCGAAGUAAUGAUUAAGAGGGACAAUUGGGGGCGUCCGUAUUUCGUUGUCAGAGGUGAAAUUCUUGGAUUUACGAAAGACGAACAACUGCGAAAGCACUUGCCAAGAGUGUUUUCAUUA